This 342-nucleotide ribosomal RNA is filed under the name uncultured bacterium. RNAcentral describes it as "partial 16S ribosomal RNA". It matches the Rfam family "Bacterial small subunit ribosomal RNA", at positions 338 to 678 of the family's 1533-position model. The record is from RNAcentral.
CCUACGGGAGGCAGCAGUGAGGAAUAUUGGUCAAUGGCCGGAAGGCUGAACCAGCCAAGCCGCGUGAAGGACGAAGGUGCCAAGCAUUGUAAACUUCUUUUGUCAAGGGACAAAAUCAGGCUCGAGAGCCUUACCGAGGGUACUUGAAGAAAAAGCAUCGGCUAACUCCGUGCCAGCAGCCGCGGUAAUACGGAGGAUGCGAGCGUUAUCCGGAUUUAUUGGGUUUAAAGGGUGCGUAGGCGGACUGUUAAGUCAGCGGUAAAAGCCCGGGGCUAAACCCCGGCGUGCCAUUGAGCCUGGCUGUCUUGAGAUGACGAGAGGUAUGCGGAAUGCGCAGUGUAG